UGGGGAAUAUUGGACAAUGGGCGCAAGCCUGAUCCAGCCAUGCCGCGUGUGUGAAAAAGGCCUUCGGGUUGUAAAGCACUUUUGUCCGGAAAGAAAGCGAAUCGGCGAAUACCCGGUUUGGAUGACGGUACCGGGAGAAGAAGCUGCGGCUAACUACGUGCCAGCAGCCGCGGUAAUACGUAGGCAGCAAGCGUUGUUCGGAGUUACUGGGCGUAAAGAGUGCGUAGGCGGUUUUCUAAGUUCGGUGUGAAAUCUCCCGGCUUAACUGGGAGGGUGCGCCGAAGACUGGGAAGCUGGAGUGUGGGAAAGGCAGGCGGAAUUCCUGGUGUAGCGGUGAAAUGCGUAGAUAUCAGGAGGAACACCGGCGGUGUAGACGGCUUGCUAGACCAUAACUGACGCUGAGGCACGAAAGCGUGGGUAGCAAACA
Molecule: ribosomal RNA, 427 nt
Filed under: uncultured bacterium
Lineage: Bacteria
Description: bacterial SSU rRNA
Rfam family: Bacterial small subunit ribosomal RNA
Source: RNAcentral